RNAcentral lists this ribosomal RNA (164 nucleotides) under uncultured bacterium. Its description in RNAcentral is "partial 16S rRNA". It matches the Rfam family "Bacterial small subunit ribosomal RNA", at positions 355 to 511 of the family's 1533-position model. The record is from RNAcentral.
UAGGGAAUCUUCGGCAAUGGGGGCAACCCUGACCGAGCAACGCCGCGUGAGUGAAGAAGGUCUUCGGAUCGUAAAACUCUGUUGUUAGAGAAGAACAUGCAGGAGAGUAACUGUUCUUGUAUUGACGGUAUCUAACCAGAAAGCCACGGCUAACUACGCGCCAG